RNAcentral lists this ribosomal RNA (450 nucleotides) under Triticum aestivum (bread wheat). RNAcentral's name for it is "partial small subunit ribosomal RNA". The record is from RNAcentral. Lineage: Eukaryota; Viridiplantae; Streptophyta; Magnoliopsida; Poales; Poaceae.
AUGCUGCGCAGCUUCCCCCAGGCCCGUCGGCUUCUCAAGAGGCUGGGUUUUGAGAAGGGGGACGCCUACUUCUUUAAGCAGAUGGGCAAGGGCAUGCUAUGCACAUACGCGCUUUUUGGCGCUGCGUGGUUCUGGAAUGAGACAUCGCCGCUUGGCUGGUGGACGCUCAAGCCACGGCCCAAGGAAGAGAAGGAGAUGGCGCAUCUGUAUGAGCGCAGGGAGUUCCCGUACCCAGGUGACGAGGAGGCGGUGGAGGAGUUCAUAAAAAGCGGGGGCGCCCUGGGCACCACGAUCGGGCCCAAGGGGUUCGCUGACGCGAACAUGGACUCGGACAACAUGCAGAAGCAGCUGCAGUCGAAGAAGUUCGACCAGGAGGCGCGGAAGCUGUGGUUCCGUAUGCGCAACGAGGUGGUGCAGGAGCUCCAGGAGAAGGGGUUCGACGUCGAAUGA